CACCUGAUAGCACAUGGUGUGCACCUGCCUUCCUUUAUUGCUCUUCUAUUCCAUUGAGAUGUAGGCAGGAGGUCCCCGUUCGACUCGGGGUCGGGUGG
Molecule: non-coding RNA, 98 nt
Organism: Mycena metata
Lineage: Eukaryota; Fungi; Basidiomycota; Agaricomycetes; Agaricales; Mycenaceae
Source: the annotation of a GenBank genome assembly